This 381-nucleotide RNase P RNA is filed under the name Acidipropionibacterium jensenii. Its description in RNAcentral is "Propionibacterium jensenii Bacterial RNase P class A". It matches the Rfam family "Bacterial RNase P class A". From Rfam's summary of the family: Ribonuclease P (RNase P) is a ubiquitous endoribonuclease, found in archaea, bacteria and eukarya as well as chloroplasts and mitochondria. Its best characterised activity is the generation of mature 5'-ends of tRNAs by cleaving the 5'-leader elements of precursor-tRNAs. Cellular RNase Ps are ribonucleoproteins. Lineage: Bacteria; Bacillati; Actinomycetota; Actinomycetes; Propionibacteriales; Propionibacteriaceae. The record is from Rfam by way of RNAcentral.
CGAGCCACCCGGGUGAUCGCGGCAGCCAUUGCUGUCGAGGAAAGUCCGGGCUCCAGAGGGCAUGGUGGUGGGUAACACCCACCCGGGGCGACCCGCGGGACAGUGCCACAGAGAACAGACCGCCGGUCCUCGGACCGGUAAGGGUGAAACGGCGGUGCAAGAGACCACCGCGUCAUCGGUGACGGUGACGGCAGGGCAAACCCCACCUGGAGCAAGGCCAAGAAGACCGAGAGGUCGCGGACGCGUUCGAGGGCUGCCCGCCCGAGCGUCCGGGUAGGCUGCGCAGCCAUUCGGCUGGAGGGUGUCGGCAACGGCACUCACAGAUGGAUGAUCACCGCUCCUUCGGGAGUACAGAACCCGGCUUACAGGGUGGCUCGUCCC